AUGAAGGACGGUACUAACACCGAUAUGCUUCGGGGAGCUGUAAGUAAGCUUUGAUCCGGAGAUUUCCGAAUGGGGAAACCCCCUAUCCGUAAUGGGAUAGGAUCUUUACCUGAAUACAUAGGGUAUAGAAGGCAGACCCGGGGAACUGAAACAUCUAAGUACCCGGAGGAAGAGAAAGCAAAUGCGAUUCCCUGAGUAGCGGCGAGCGAAACGGGAUUAGCCCAAACCAAGAGGCUUGCCUCUUGGGGUUGUAGGACACUCUAC
RNAcentral lists this ribosomal RNA (264 nucleotides) under Escherichia coli. Its description in RNAcentral is "partial 23S ribosomal RNA". It matches the Rfam family "Bacterial large subunit ribosomal RNA", at positions 49 to 313 of the family's 2925-position model. Lineage: Bacteria; Pseudomonadati; Pseudomonadota; Gammaproteobacteria; Enterobacterales; Enterobacteriaceae. The record is from RNAcentral.